RNAcentral lists this ribosomal RNA (207 nucleotides) under uncultured Syntrophorhabdus sp. RNAcentral's name for it is "partial 16S ribosomal RNA". It matches the Rfam family "Bacterial small subunit ribosomal RNA", at positions 568 to 774 of the family's 1533-position model. Lineage: Bacteria; Pseudomonadati; Thermodesulfobacteriota; Syntrophorhabdia; Syntrophorhabdales; Syntrophorhabdaceae. The record is from RNAcentral.
CGCGUAGGUGGUUGUGAUAGUCAGAUGUGAAAUCCUUUGGCUUAACUGAAGAACUGCAUCUGAAGCUUCACAACUCGAGUACAGGAGAGGGAAACGGAAUUCCCGGUGUAGAGGUGAAAUUCGUAGAUAUCGGGAGGAACACCAGUGGCGAAGGCGGUUUCCUGGCCUGAUACUGACACUGAGGCGCGAAAGCGUGGGGAGCAAACA